RNAcentral lists this ribosomal RNA (274 nucleotides) under uncultured bacterium. RNAcentral describes it as "partial 16S ribosomal RNA". It matches the Rfam family "Bacterial small subunit ribosomal RNA", at positions 523 to 796 of the family's 1533-position model. The record is from RNAcentral.
AUACGGAGGGUCCAAGCGUUAUCCGGAUUUAUUGGGUUUAAAGGGUCCGUAGGCGGGAGAUUAAGUCAGUGGUGAAAUCCUACAGCUCAACUGUAGAACUGCCAUUGAAACUGAUUUUCUUGAAUGUGCUUGAAGUAGGCGGAAUAUGUCAUGUAGCGGUGAAAUGCUUAGAUAUGACAUAGAACACCGAUAGCGAAGGCAGCUUACUAAGUCAUAAUUGACGCUGAUGGACGAAAGCGUGGGGAGCGAACAGGAUUAGAAACCCUAGUAGUCC